Molecule: ribosomal RNA, 254 nt
Filed under: uncultured bacterium
Lineage: Bacteria
Description: partial 16S ribosomal RNA
Rfam family: Bacterial small subunit ribosomal RNA
Source: RNAcentral
UACGUAGGGUGCGAGCGUUGUCCGGAAUUAUUGGGCGUAAAGAGCUCGUAGGCGGUGUGUCACGUCGGCCGUGAAAACCUGCAGCUUAACUGUGGGCGUGCGGUCGAUACGGGCAUCACUGGAGUUCGGCAGGGGAGACUGGAAUUCCUGGUGUAGCGGUGAAAUGCGCAGAUAUCAGGAGGAACACCGGUGGCGAAGGCGGUUCUCUGGGCAUGAUCUGACGCUGAGGAGCGAAAGUGUGGGGAGCGAACAGG